UGCAACUGCGUGGCGGGCUACACUGGGCCGCGCUGCGAGCAGGACGUCAACGAGUGCCUGUCCAACCCCUGCAAGAACGACGCCACCUGCCUGGACCAGAUCGGAAAGUACACCUGCAUCUGUAUGCCGGGUUUUGAGGGCGAGCACUGUGAGAAUGACAUCAAUGAGUGCAACAGCUCUCCGUGCCUGAACAGUGGGAAGUGUAUAGAUGAAGUCAGCCGCUUCGUCUGUGAAUGUCCUCAAGGAUUCACGGGCGAGACGUGCCAGGUUGAC
Engraulis encrasicolus (European anchovy) is the source of this 273-nucleotide long non-coding RNA. RefSeq lists it as uncharacterized. Lineage: Eukaryota; Metazoa; Chordata; Actinopteri; Clupeiformes; Engraulidae. The transcript has 3 exons. The record is from RefSeq and is a predicted model, not a curated record.